UGAAGAUGUUGAUAAGGAUAUGAAAUGCUAGAUGGUAAGAAUGGCAUUGGACAGAAUACACAGUAUUCUGGUGCAGUGCAGGUACUCAGAGAAAACUGAUUAACACAUAGCCUCGCUGCAAGAGCACACUGAUGUAAAGAAGGUUAAAUCUGAUAGAUGGUGGAGCCACUGCCAGCGGACCGAGUGCCAAGCUGCUGGUGAUCAGGGUCGCAGAGUCGCCGUACUGCAGUGCCGUGUACUUACACGAUAAGGAAGCGAAUCUCUCUAUAUGUGCAUUGAUUGAGAGUGUUGAGAUUCAAUGUUAUAAGAUUAAUAGCUGGCACGACUAUACUAGUCUUUAUAUACAUAUUGUAAAAUCUUAAUUGAGUGCCGAGUUAUGGCAGUGUGUAGUCUAGACCAGGCCAUGAUAGUAGGUAAAACAAACAAAGCUAUGUAUAGAUUGUGACUUAUGUCGAUUCGAAGAUUCUUGUAAUGUAAGCUUGUUGCGUGAAUCAAAUUUUAAACAAAAUAUUGAUAGGUAAAUUUAUGUUGGAAAACUGCUCAGAACAGGCCUUAAAGGCAGACUGUCUGGGGCAGGCCCUGAUUGUUGAUGAUGAUAUUAUUUACCAUAACAAACAUAAGAUUGAAAAGGUUAAUACCUUUUGAUUGAUUGAUUAUGAUGAAUGAAGGAGCAGACUGUCUGGAACAGGUCCUGACUGGGUUGGGCCUAACAUUCUAGAGCAGGCCGUGAAGGCAGACUGUCUAGAACAGGCUAUGAUACCAGUUUGGCAUUCUAGAGCAGGCCGUUAUGGCAGACUGUCUAGACCACACCAGUCUAGAGCAGGCCAUACCAAAUUAUAAAAUUAUAUUGAUUGAUUAGGUUGAAUGAAGGAGCAGACUGUCUGGAACAGGUUUGGGUAGUAGCCUGACAUUCUAGAGCAGGCCGUGAAGGCAGACUGUCUAGAACAGGCUAUAAUACCAUCUUGAAAUUCUAGAGCAGGCCGAUAUGGCAGACUGUCUAGGCCACACCAGUCUAGAGCAGGCCAUAAUUUAAUUGAUUGAUUGGCAGACCGCCUUGAUUAGUCAAGAACGGGCCAUAACAAAUUAUAUUUUGUUGAUGAAAAGAGCAGGCCUUAAAGGCAGACUGCGGAUGUUUAUGGUAUAAUAUCUCUUAUUAAUAUGUUCAGAACAGGCCUUUAGGUUGACUGUUAAUGAUAUAUACUUUGUUAAUAUAAUUAGAACAGGCUUGUAAGCAGACUGAUUAUUAGUGAUAUAAUAUACUUUAUUAAUAUGAUAAGAGCAGGCCUAGUCUAGUAGGCAGACUGUGAUGUUAAUUAGAAAAUAUACUUUUGCUAAUAUGUUAUACUUUGGAACCGGCCUUGAAGGCAGACUGAGAUAGUUAAUGAUAUAAUAUAAAAACCUCGAUAAUAUGAUUAGAAUUGACUUUGUAAGCUGAAUGUGACUAUUAAUGAUAUAUUAUACUUAGUCAAUACUUAAAUAACAAGCCUAGUAGGCAGAGAUUGAUAAUGAUGUUUUAUAUACUUUGAUAAAA
This is a long non-coding RNA of Leguminivora glycinivorella, 1531 nucleotides long. RefSeq lists it as uncharacterized. The transcript has 2 exons. The record is from RefSeq and is a predicted model, not a curated record. NCBI's taxonomy places the organism in Eukaryota, Metazoa, Arthropoda, Insecta, Lepidoptera, Tortricidae.